CCUACGGGAGGCAGCAGUGAGGAAUAUUGGUCAAUGGACGAGAGUCUGAACCAGCCAAGUAGCGUGAAGGAUGACUGCCCUAUGGGUUGUAAACUUCUUUUAUAAAGGAAUAAAACGAGGCACGUGUGCCUUUUUGCAUGUACUUUAUGAAUAAGGAUCGGCUAACUCCGGGCCAGCCGCCGCGGUAAUACGGAGGAUCCGAGCGUUAUCCGGAUUUAUUGGGUUUAAAGGGAGCGUAGAUGGGUUGAUAAGUCAGUUGUGAAAGUUUGCGGCUCAACCGUAGAAGUGCAAUUGAUACUGGUAGUCUUGAGUACGGUUGAGGUAAGCGGAAUGCGUGGUGUAGCGGUGAAAUGCUUAGAUAUCACGAAGAACCCCGAUUGCGAAGGCAGCUUACUAAACUGUGACUGACAUUGAUGCUCGAAAGUGUGGGUAUCAAACAGGAUUAGAUACCCCUGUAGUC
Molecule: ribosomal RNA, 460 nt
Filed under: uncultured bacterium
Lineage: Bacteria
Description: partial 16S ribosomal RNA
Rfam family: Bacterial small subunit ribosomal RNA
Source: RNAcentral